AUUGAACGCUGGCGGAAUGCUUUACACAUGCAAGUCGAGCGGCAGCGCGGGGGCAACCCUGGCGGCGAGCGGCGAACGGGUGAGUAAUACAUCGGAACGUGUCCUUAAGUGGGGGAUAGCUCGGCGAAAGCCGGAUUAAUACCGCAUAAGCUCUGAGGAGGAAAGCGGGGGCUCCGUAAGGACCUCGCGCUGUUGGAGCGGCCGAUGUCGGAUUAGCUAGUUGGUAGGGUAAUGGCCUACCAAGGCGACGAUCGGUAGCUGGUCUGAGAGGACGACCAGCCACACUGGGACUGAGACACGGCCCAGACUCCUACGGGAGGCAGCAGUGGGGAAUAUUGGACAAUGGGCGCAAGCCUGAUCCAGCGAUGCCGCGUGCGUGAAGAAGGCCUGCGGGUUGUAAAGCACUUUCAGUAGGGAAGAAAGACCGAGUGCUAAUAUCAUUCGGUCGUUGACGUUACUUACAGAAGAAGCACCGGCUAACUCCGUGCC
RNAcentral lists this ribosomal RNA (489 nucleotides) under uncultured bacterium. RNAcentral describes it as "bacterial SSU rRNA". It matches the Rfam family "Bacterial small subunit ribosomal RNA", at positions 29 to 509 of the family's 1533-position model. The record is from RNAcentral.